Molecule: ribosomal RNA, 164 nt
Filed under: uncultured bacterium
Lineage: Bacteria
Description: partial 16S ribosomal RNA
Rfam family: Bacterial small subunit ribosomal RNA
Source: RNAcentral
UAGGGAAUCUUCCACAAUGGGCGAAAGCCUGAUGGAGCAACGCCGCGUGUGUGAUGAAGGCUUUCGGGUCGUAAAGCACUGUUGUAUGGGAAGAACAGCUAGAAUAGGAAAUGAUUUUAGUUUGACGGUACCAUACCAGAAAGGGACGGCUAAAUACAUGUCAG